This 711-nucleotide long non-coding RNA is filed under the name Homo sapiens (human). RNAcentral's name for it is "non-protein coding lnc-MTERF3-1:7". The record is from RNAcentral. Lineage: Eukaryota; Metazoa; Chordata; Mammalia; Primates; Hominidae.
GGACAUUUUCCCUGCUUAGGCAGCCACAGCACAGAGAUAGAAUUAGUCACAAGAUUAGUCCAGCUUAAAUAAGCAGAAGUCAAGUUAGUGCUUCACAGAUUGGUCUUUUAGCAGAUGCUCUGCCCUUUCGAGGAAUGCAAGGGGCAAAUGUGAGCUCUUAAGGAUAUUUUACAUUUGCGCAAUGAAGUUACGCUGUUCAAAAAACUUUCUCGUCUUUCUGCCUUUGUGCAACCUAAUUUCUCUUACCAGAAACCUGAGGCUCCAAAGUUCUGGAGGCCGGAAGUCCAGGGUCAAGGUGACAGUGGAUUCGUUUCCUGGUGAGGACCCUCUUCCUGGUUUGUACAUGUGAUUCCUAGCAGUCUCCAUUUUGAAGUUCUCUUCUCCUUUGACCAAGCGUCCAGCACAUCCUCACAACACUCCAAAGCCACCUUGAAGACUCUCUUCAAAGCAGUUCUUACUGUUGAUACCACCACCAUUGUUCCGACACAUGAAGCAGGAGGACCCAAGGCCAGAGGUCAUGGUGGAGAGAUGAGCAGAUAGUCCUCAAAGGCAGACAGGGCUGGGGUUGGAGAGGAAUUCCCUAAUAGCUGUUAUAAAUGGAGAUAUGACAGGUGUGAACAAACAACCUAGGACUGGAAGAAAGAAGAGGGAGGAGUCGGGUAGAGAUAGUACUUGGAGUGGAUGCCCAGGCUGUGUAGUGACAUAAAGGGG